This 1335-nucleotide ribosomal RNA is filed under the name uncultured bacterium. Its description in RNAcentral is "bacterial SSU rRNA". It matches the Rfam family "Bacterial small subunit ribosomal RNA", at positions 28 to 1381 of the family's 1533-position model. The record is from RNAcentral.
GAUGAACGCUGGCGGCGUGCUUAACACAUGCAAGUCGAACGGAAAGGCCAGUGCUUGCGCUGGUACUCGAGUGGCGAACGGGUGAGUAACACGUGGGUGAUCUGCCCUGCACUUCGGGAUAAGCUUGGGAAACUGGGUCUAAUACCGGAUAGGACCAUUGGUUGGUGCCUUUGGUGGAAAGUUUUUUCGGUGUGGGAUGAGCUCGCGGCCUAUCAGCUUGUUGGUGGGGUAAUGGCCUACCAAGGCGUCGACGGGUAGCCGGCCUGAGAGGGUGUACGGCCACAUUGGGACUGAGAUACGGCCCAGACUCCUACGGGAGGCAGCAGUGGGGAAUAUUGCACAAUGGACGCAAGCCUGAUGCAGCGACGCCGCGUGGGGGAUGACGGCCUUCGGGUUGUAAACUCCUUUCGCCAAAGACGAAUGUGGACGGUAUUUGGAGAAGAAGCACCGGCUAACUACGUGCCAGCAGCCGCGGUAAUACGUAGGGUGCGAGCGUUGUCCGGAAUUACUGGGCGUAAAGAGCUCGUAGGUGGUUUGUCGCGUCGUUUGUGGAAGUCCACGGCUUAACUGUGGGACUGCAGGCGAUACGGGCAUAACUUGAGUGCUGUAGGGGAGACUGGAAUUCCUGGUGUAGCGGUGAAAUGCGCAGAUAUCAGGAGAACACCGAUGGCGAAGGCAGGUCUCUGGGCAGUAACUGACGCUGAGGAGCGAAAGCAUGGGGAGCGAACAGGAUUAGAUACCCUGGUAGUCCAUGCCGUAAACGGUGGGCGCUGGGUGUGAGUCCCUUCCACGGGGUUCGUGCCGUAGCUAACGCAUUAAGCGCCCCGCCUGGGGAGUACGGCCGCAAGGCUAAAACUCAAAGGAAUUGACGGGGGCCCGCACAAGCGGCGGAGCAUGCGGAUUAAUUCGAUGCAACGCGAAGAACCUUACCUGGGCUUGACAUACACUGGAUCGCUGCAGAGAUGUAGUUUCCCUUGUGGCUGGUGUACAGGUGGUGCAUGGUUGUCGUCAGCUCGUGUCGUGAGAUGUUGGGUUAAGUCCCGCAACGAGCGCAACCCUUGUCUUAUGUUGCCAGCAUUUUGGUUGGGGACUCAUGAGAGACUGCCGGGGUGAACUCGGAGGAAGGUGGGGAUGACGUCAAAUCAUCAUGCCCCUUAUGUCCAGGGCUUCACACAUGCUACAAUGGUCGGUACAACGCGCAGCGAGCCUGUGAGGGUGAGCGAAUCGCUGAAAGCCGGUCGUAGUUCGGAUUGGGGUCUGCAACUCGACCCCAUGAAGUCGGAGUCGCUAGUAAUCGCAGAUCAGCAACGCUGCGGUGAAUACGUUCCCGGGCCU